RNAcentral lists this non-coding RNA (30 nucleotides) under Rattus norvegicus (Norway rat). The record is from RNAcentral. Lineage: Eukaryota; Metazoa; Chordata; Mammalia; Rodentia; Muridae.
UCAGGCAAUUGACUCAUCUGAGACUACAGC